RNAcentral lists this long non-coding RNA (1361 nucleotides) under Physcomitrium patens. RNAcentral describes it as "long non-coding RNA (PPAT_LNC013677)". The record is from RNAcentral. Lineage: Eukaryota; Viridiplantae; Streptophyta; Bryopsida; Funariales; Funariaceae.
GAACUUCGUCUAAAUGUAUUAGGAUACGUGGAAUGCCAAAGAGGCUCUAACAAAUGCACGAAACGCGGUUCUAACAGUUAAACGUUAAAAGAACAAGGCAAAAGGCAUCAAUAUUAAGAGACACACCAUGUCAUAGUGAGUAGAGGAGGCGCGCAGAGGAUGCCAAAUGCUCGUUUCCAGCAUAGGAAGAGAUCAUUUCAAAUUCGGGACAGAUUACAGAGCAUGAGGGAUUGCAGACCUCAUCGAUUUAUAGUAGACCAGGCAGACAGAGUGGUAGGGACUGUUGUUACGUAUUUUACACUACAAUUACUACCUGAAUGUCGAAGCUGCAGAUGGAAGAUCUUACACUCUUGCAUUCAUGUAACAUUCAAAAGAAACGUACUUUUUGUUGUUCUAAGUCUUAAGUACUUCACCGAACCAGUGCAUCCUUAAAAAAGCUAAGGUUGCAUCUGACAUCAAAGUGGAUGUAAGAGGAACAGCUUGACCUUUUUAAAUAUAGAAUGAAAAGUUCAGAAUGCGCGCUAACUUCUCAGGCGCCUUGAAGUAGACAUUCCCAAGUUUUAACUAAGGUCGAAGUAGCUUUCGACAGACCGAGACAAUUCUUGGAAUGUCUUCCAAACCUGCAGUCUCUAUCAGCGACGACCCGUGAACAUGUACUUAAUGUUGUGCGCAAUGCGUCCCAAGUAGUAGAAGGGAUUGUAGUGGUUAAGCCUGCCUCGAAGCUUCCACUUCUGGUUGUGAAAAGGAUGCCUCAGCUUCCAUUUGAAGUGCUGCCAGCGGUUCGCGGCGUGAGCAACGUUGGCAUCUGCUCGCCUCAAGGCAUCCAUCUUAGUUUCUGCGAAACUAUCGGAGAUGUUACUAAAUGUUGCAAAAUCUGCCGAAACUCCUCCAAUGAGGAAUAACUCUACAAAUUGAAUCCAACGAAUAACUCGGUGCUCACGCGACCGGCUCCCAAACGAUGAAACUCCACACUGUACAAUUAAGCACUCUAUCAAGACAAACCCUAGCGGAGAGUGCAGACCAGUCCUCAAGGCCGAAAUGGUGCUCUCCACAAUCUAUAAUAUAGGUGAUCAAAAGCCGGAAUCACAGCACCCACUCGGCCGGAAAUCCAGGGGAAAUCGACCUCGAUCAAGAGUGACUCCCUUUGCAAUCCUCGUCACAACAUGUAGCAGAAACCUCCUUGUUCACUCGACUGCCUCAAGGCAUCUGGGCCGUCAGGUUUCCAGAUUGAAUCUUGACCGUUAUAGGGUUUAUUUGGAACUCAAGGGGAACGCAGAGUGCGGGCAGAGGAUCUUGAGGGAAACUAGCGGCGCGGGCAAAGGGAGCGAGGAAGGGGAUCACAUAGGGAACGCGGGAGAACU